This 2225-nucleotide small RNA is filed under the name Pan troglodytes (chimpanzee). RNAcentral describes it as "retained intron". The record is from RNAcentral. Lineage: Eukaryota; Metazoa; Chordata; Mammalia; Primates; Hominidae.
GAUUCCACCCAGGGCAGGGCUGCUGUGUUUUCUCUGAGGCCAACUUUCAGGGAAAAGAAGGAUCUUGCUGGGAUUUUGCUCAGGCCUAAGUCUGCCAGCUGGGAUGGCCUGGGGCCUAAGAAAUGCCUAGCUUCCCUCCCCACCUGUCCCCAUGGAGGGAGACUGAGAAGACGCUGGAUGAACCAGACCAUGGCUCCUUCAGGAGAGAGGUUGAUUGACUUAUGUGCAAUUUGGGACGCUGGAGUUUACCUUCCCUCCGCAGCCUGCAACAGAGCCUCCUCUGGUGUUGCAAGGAAGAGGCUGAAUGAGGCAGAGAAGCUAAGCUCUGUCCAGGAGGCCCAGUUAAAGCGGCUCGAGGUGACAAGACCCCGAGUGCUGGGGAGCAGGGAGCGGGGCCAGGUGCCGAGGAUGGCCAGGCAGCCACCGCCGCCCUGGGUCCAUGCAGCCUUCCUCCUCUGCCUCCUCAGUCUUGGCGGAGCCAUCGAAAUUCCUAUGGAUCUGACGCAGCCGCCAACCAUCACCAAGCAGUCAGUGAAGGAUCACAUCGUGGACCCCCGUGAUAACAUCCUGAUUGAGUGUGAAGCAAAAGGGAACCCUGCCCCCAGCUUCCACUGGACACGAAACAGCAGAUUCUUCAACAUCGCCAAGGACCCCCGGGUGUCCAUGAGGAGGAGGUCUGGGACCCUGGUGAUUGACUUCCGCAGUGGCGGGCGGCCGGAGGAAUAUGAGGGGGAGUAUCAGUGCUUCGCCCGCAACAAAUUUGGCACGGCCCUGUCCAAUAGGAUCCGCCUGCAGGUGUCUAAAUCUCCUCUGUGGCCCAAGGAAAACCUAGACCCUGUCGUGGUCCAAGAGGGCGCUCCUUUGACGCUCCAGUGCAACCCCCCGCCUGGACUUCCAUCCCCGGUCAUCUUCUGGAUGAGCAGCUCCAUGGAGCCCAUCACCCAAGACAAACGUGUCUCUCAGGGCCAUAACGGAGACCUAUACUUCUCCAACGUGAUGCUGCAGGACAUGCAGACCGACUACAGUUGCAACGCCCGCUUCCACUUCACCCACACCAUCCAGCAGAAGAACCCUUUCACCCUCAAGGUCCUCACCAACCACCCUUAUAAUGACUCGUCCUUAAGAAACCACCCUGACAUGUACAGUGCCCGAGGAGUUGCAGAAAGAACACCAAGCUUCAUGUAUCCCCAGGGCACCGCGAGCAGCCAGAUGGUGCUUCGUGGCAUGGACCUCCUGCUGGAAUGCAUCGCCUCCGGGGUCCCAACACCAGACAUCGCAUGGUACAAGAAAGGUGGGGACCUCCCAUCUGAUAAGGCCAAGUUUGAGAACUUUAAUAAGGCCCUGCGUAUCACAAAUGUCUCUGAGGAAGACUCCGGGGAGUAUUUCUGCCUGGCCUCCAACAAGAUGGGCAGCAUCCGGCACACGAUCUCGGUGAGAGUAAAGGCUGCUCCCUACUGGCUGGACGAACCCAAGAACCUUAUCCUGGCUCCUGGCGAGGAUGGGAGACUGGUGUGUCGAGCCAAUGGAAACCCCAAACCCACUGUCCAGUGGAUGGUGAAUGGGGAACCUUUGCAAUUGGCACCACCUAACCCAAACCGUGAGGUGGCCGGAGACACCAUCAUCUUCCGGGACACCCAGAUCAGCAGCAGGGCUGUGUACCAGUGCAACACCUCCAACGAGCAUGGCUACCUGCUGGCCAAUGCCUUUGUCAGUGUGCUGGAUGUGCCACCUCGGAUGCUGUCGCCCCGGAACCAGCUCAUUCGAGUGAUUCUUUACAACCGGACGCGGCUGGACUGCCCUUUCUUUGGGUCUCCCAUCCCCACACUGCGAUGGUAAGUUCCAGGAGAUCAGGCCUUCCACAGCAGGGGUCACCUGUCUCAUCUUCUCCUUCCCAUCUGGCCCAUAGUAGGUGUUCAGCAAGACCUGGGAAUCUUAAAGGGUCAAAGCUGGGAGGAAGUUAGCAGAUCAUCUGGAUCAACCUCCUCAUUGUACAGAAUGGGAAACCAAGACCUUGAGAGGGAUGGAGGCUUGCCAGGGCCACCUGGUGGUUAGAGGCAGACCCUCCGAGGCUCAGGGCUCCAGUCUCCUAGCAUGGGGCUCCUUCCACAGCCCCCAUGGUCUCUCUUGAUUGGCUGCUGCCCCUGCCCUUGGGCUGGUCCUGUCUCAGGAUGCUGUGUGUUCUGCUGCUCUGUUGUGAGGUUUAAGAAUGGGCAAGGAAGCAACCU